RNAcentral lists this RNase P RNA (361 nucleotides) under Limnohabitans sp. RNAcentral describes it as "RNase P RNA component class A". It matches the Rfam family "Bacterial RNase P class A". Rfam says of the family: Ribonuclease P (RNase P) is a ubiquitous endoribonuclease, found in archaea, bacteria and eukarya as well as chloroplasts and mitochondria. RNAcentral also lists the same sequence under 3 other names. Lineage: Bacteria; Pseudomonadati; Pseudomonadota; Betaproteobacteria; Burkholderiales; Comamonadaceae. The record is from RNAcentral.
GAAGUUCGCUAGGCCGUCGCUGGUGCAAUCUGGGAAACCAGGCACUGGAGGAACGUCCGGACUGCGUAGGACAGCGUAAGAGGUAACACCUCUCCACCGUGAGGUGAGGAUUAGAGCAACAGAGACGAGUCACCUUGUGUGCAGCACCGAAGGCGCAAGCCGGAGGUACGAGCAUACAAGGUGGGUGAAACGGGCAAUCUCUACGCGCAGCAAUACCAAGUAGGCCAGCGUUGAUGUGGUUCCGCAGAGUUGGCGGGUAGGUAGCACCGAGCCGAGUGGGCAACCCUCGGCCCAGAUUAAUGACGGUCACGCCGUGGGCAACCAUGGUGCACAGAAUCCGGCGUAUCGGCGAGCUUCACAC